AAUUUUGGAUGGAAAUGGAAGAGGGGAGGUCAAGGGAUGAUUUCCAGGUGAAGAAUGGGUGACUUUCGUCGGAAAAGUAGUGGGAUUUAGCUGGAAUUGGAACCAGGUUGCAACCGGUUUUAUUUUGGGGGCACGGGUCGGCUGGGUUGGUUGCUCCACACCUCCCUCCUUUCCCUCCUGGUUCUUCUCUCCCAUUUGUCACUCUCACUCUCCUCC
This 216-nucleotide long non-coding RNA is filed under the name Malus domestica (apple). Its description in RNAcentral is "long non-coding RNA (MDOM_LNC008383)". The record is from RNAcentral. Lineage: Eukaryota; Viridiplantae; Streptophyta; Magnoliopsida; Rosales; Rosaceae.